CAGUCGCCGCGGGAAUACGAAGGGGGCUAGCGUUGUUCGGAAUCACUGGGCGUAAAGCGCACGUAGGCGGAUACUUAAGUCAGGGGUGAAAUCCCGGGGCUCAACCUCGGAACUGCCUUUGAUACUGGGUAUCUUGAGUCCGGGAGAGGUUGGUGGAACUCCGAGUGUAGAGGUGAAAUUCGUAGAUAUUCGGAAGAACACCAGUGGCGAAGGCGGCCAACUGGCCCGGUACUGACGCUGAGGUGCGAAAGCGUGGGGAGCAAACAGGAUUAGAUACCCGCGUAGUCCCUGUCUCUUAUAA
This 301-nucleotide ribosomal RNA is filed under the name uncultured bacterium. Its description in RNAcentral is "partial 16S ribosomal RNA". It matches the Rfam family "Bacterial small subunit ribosomal RNA", at positions 509 to 809 of the family's 1533-position model. The record is from RNAcentral.